RNAcentral lists this ribosomal RNA (1820 nucleotides) under Salmonella enterica. RNAcentral describes it as "partial 23S ribosomal RNA". It matches the Rfam family "Bacterial large subunit ribosomal RNA", at positions 689 to 2405 of the family's 2925-position model. The record is from RNAcentral. Lineage: Bacteria; Pseudomonadati; Pseudomonadota; Gammaproteobacteria; Enterobacterales; Enterobacteriaceae.
UGGGCGUUAAGUUGCAGGGUAUAGACCCGAAACCCGGUGAUCUAGCCAUGGGCAGGUUGAAGGUUGGGUAACACUAACUGGAGGACCGAACCGACUAAUGUUGAAAAAUUAGCGGAUGACCUGUGGCUGGGGGUGAAAGGCCAAUCAAACCGGGAGAUAGCUGGUUCUCCCCGAAAGCUAUUUAGGUAGCGCCUCGUGAAUUCAUCUCCGGGGGUAGAGCACUGUUUCGGCUAGGGGGCCAUCCCGGCUUACCAACCCGAUGCAAACUGCGAAUACCGGAGAAUGUUAUCACGGGAGACACACGGCGGGUGCUAACGUCCGUCGUGAAGAGGGAAACAACCCAGACCGCCAGCUAAGGUCCCAAAGUCAUGGUUAAGUGGGAAACGAUGUGGGAAGGCCCAGACAGCCAGGAUGUUGGCUUAGAAGCAGCCAUCAUUUAAAGAAAGCGUAAUAGCUCACUGGUCGAGUCGGCCUGCGCGGAAGAUGUAACGGGGCUAAACCAUGCACCGAAGCUGCGGCAGCGAACGUAUCACCCAAGACAACUUUACGGAGUUGACGAUUGACGGAGCGAAGCGACGUCAAAGCGUUCAUUAAAGUCGAGUUGGCUUAGGGAUACGUUCGUUGGGUAGGGGAGCGUUCUGUAAGCCUGUGAAGGUGUGUCGUGAGGCAUGCUGGAGGUAUCAGAAGUGCGAAUGCUGACAUAAGUAACGAUAAAGCGGGUGAAAAGCCCGCUCGCCGGAAGACCAAGGGUUCCUGUCCAACGUUAAUCGGGGCAGGGUGAGUCGACCCCUAAGGCGAGGCCGAAAGGCGUAGUCGAUGGGAAACGGGUUAAUAUUCCCGUACUUGGUGUUACUGCGAAGGGGGGACGGAGAAGGCUAUGUUGGCCGGGCGACGGUUGUCCCGGUUUAAGCGUGUAGGUGUGUGUUCCAGGUAAAUCCGGUUCACUUUAACACUGAGGCGUGACGACGAGGCACUACGGUGCUGAAGCAACAAAUGCCCUGCUUCCAGGAAAAGCCUCUAAGCAUCAGGUAACAUCAAAUCGUACCCCAAACCGACACAGGUGGUCAGGUAGAGAAUACCAAGGCGCUUGAGAGAACUCGGGUGAAGGAACUAGGCAAAAUGGUGCCGUAACUUCGGGAGAAGGCACGCUGACACGUAGGUGAAGUGAUUUACUCAUGGAGCUGAAGUCAGUCGAAGAUACCAGCUGGCUGCAACUGUUUAUUAAAAACACAGCACUGUGCAAACACGAAAGUGGACGUAUACGGUGUGACGCCUGCCCGGUGCCGGAAGGUUAAUUGAUGGGGUCAGCGCAAGCGAAGCUCCUGAUCGAAGCCCCGGUAAACGGCGGCCGUAACUAUAACGGUCCUAAGGUAGCGAAAUUCCUUGUCGGGUAAGUUCCGACCUGCACGAAUGGCGUAAUGAUGGCCAGGCUGUCUCCACCCGAGACUCAGUGAAAUUGAACUCGCUGUGAAGAUGCAGUGUACCCGCGGCAAGACGGAAAGACCCCGUGAACCUUUACUAUAGCUUGACACUGAACAUUGAGCCUUGAUGUGUAGGAUAGGUGGGAGGCUUUGAAGUGUGGACGCCAGUCUGCAUGGAGCCGACCUUGAAAUACCACCCUUUAAUGUUUGAUGUUCUAACGUGGACCCGUAAUCCGGGUUGCGGACAGUGUCUGGUGGGUAGUUUGACUGGGGCGGUCUCCUCCUAAAGAGUAACGGAGGAGCACGAAGGUUGGCUAAUCCUGGUCGGACAUCAGGAGGUUAGUGCAAUGGCAUAAGCCAGCUUGACUGCGAGCGUGACGGCGCGAGCAGGUGCGAAAG